UUGGAGGGCAAGUCUGGUGCCAGCAGCCGCGGUAAUUCCAGCUCCAAUAGCGUAUAUUAAAGUUGUUGCAGUUAAAAAGCUCGUAGUUGAAUUUCGGGAUCAAUUUGCUGGCCGUGCCUUCGGUACGCACUGGUAUUAUUGGUUUCUCCUUUCUGAUGAAUCGCGAUGUCAUUAAUUUGGUGUCGUGGGGAAUCAGGACCGUUACUUUGAAAAAAUUAGAGUGUUUAAAGCAGGCUCACGCUUGAAUACAUUAGCAUGGAAUAAUGAAAUAGGACGUUUGAUUCUAUUUUGUUGGUUUCUAGGAUCGACGUAAUGAUUAAUAGGGAUAGUUGGGGGCAUUAGUAUUCAAUUGUCAGAGGUGAAAUUCUUGGAUUUAUUGAAGACUAACUACUGCGAAAGCAUUUGCCAAGGAUGUUUUCAUUAAUCAAGAACGAAAGUUAGGGGAUCGAAGACGAUCAGAUACCGUCGUAGUCUUAACCAUAAACUAUGCCGACUAGGGAUCGGAUGAUGUUAAUUUUUUAAUGACUCAUUCGGCGCCUUACGGGAAAC
This 549-nucleotide ribosomal RNA is filed under the name uncultured Glomeromycotina. RNAcentral's name for it is "SSU rRNA". It matches the Rfam family "Eukaryotic small subunit ribosomal RNA", at positions 548 to 1098 of the family's 1831-position model. Lineage: Eukaryota; Fungi; Glomeromycota. The record is from RNAcentral.